CUCUACUACCUGAAAAUACUAAGGUGGGCACUAGCCUUGGACAAACAGAGAAACCGAGGGCAGACAUUUCAGACAAGGUUUCAUAGAAGGGAACAGCACGCCCAGGGGUCAAAAAGUCGAAGCCAGCCUCGGGCCCUCAUGAAAGAGACUCAUGCCUGGCUUCCGGCCUCAUGGGACUCAUGCCUGGCUUCUGAGCACUCAGGAGGCUGAAGCAAGAAGAUUCCAAAUACUGAGGCAGUCAAGACUACCUUAUGUCAAGGAUGGGCGGGGUGGCUCAGUAGUGGAGACUCCCACGUGACAGGCACAUGGCACCGAGUUCCAUCAGCGUGGGACAAAAGGCGCUACCCUCUGCUGUAGGGCCACGCAGGGCCUGGCUGUAACGUUCUAUAAAGGACUUCAGAGACUCCGGGGUGUUUGGGUGAAACAGCCUGUUUUCAGUUUUGCUACAGUAGAUCACACUCUUGUUCAUCCCUCACCAACUGACAGGCUAAACAGAAUCCCGAGCCAGAAGUGUGACAUGGUUUAGUCUCACCAAUGUGGUGGUGGUGGUCAUCAUCCCAGUACUCUGUCUGGAAGCAGAGACAGGAGGACCAGGAGUUCGAGGUCCCCCUUGGCUACAAGCCCCUUCCCUCACAUCUAGGCAGGAAAGCUCCAACCUGGCACGUCUGUCAACCUAGUUCACGAGACAAGGUAUGGGAUGACAGAUUUAAUGCUAGCCUGGGCUAGCUCCUGUCACGGGAGGGGGAGGUGAAUCGUGCUGGAUGAACCUUGAAGGGUAAGCCGAAGGGACUGAGCCUUUCUUUUCACAGCGUGCCUGCCUGAGGUCCCAGCACACACGCCGAGACUGCAAACCCAAGCCCCUGUGUUCUGGACCACGAGCGAAGGGACCACCACAGAGGCACACAGAGGCCUCCACAACUCUGCCCCUCGUCACCAGAGCCAGCCCACCCAAUCCCAAGCACCCUCCUCACUUUCCUGUAGUCUUAAUUCACAAGGCAGAAGGAAGACCCACGCCCCAGGGCCACUGUGAUGCUACUUAGGAGGUGACCAACCCUGGAGCCUCCAGUCUCUCUGCCUGUCUGCCCUCCCUUAGGGCCACCCACAGCUGCUCUACUCAUAGCUGGGACCUCAGUGGGAACAGCAAGGCCUUGGGAAGGACGGGGACAUAUUACAACCCCUCUGAGUCAGUUUCGUCACCUGGCCUGUGGCCAUCCUGAUAACAGCCAUGCAGGAUGCUGGGAGGUGUGUGUGGAGUUUCACAGGAGCCUUCCAGAGGCUGGGCAACAGGGUGCAGCCCCGCCUCAGCAGUACUCAGUACACCUGGCACCCUCUGCCGGAUUCCAAGACGGUCUCCUGGGUGGGAACGGGCGAAGCCCAGGCCCGGCACCCUGGAGCACCAAGGCAAGAGGACUCCGGCCUCCUUCUCGGCUUCCGCGAACAAUGGGCCAAGGACACUGGGGACUGGGGCGCACACAUGUCAAACUUGGCAGGGAAGCAGCUGAGAGCAGCCCCUAACCCCGGAGAGGGAGACACCCUCCUCCUCCUCCCCUCCUCCUCACAGAGUGGGGCCUAAACAAGCCACUUUCCCCUUCCCCAAUGCGGAGUUGCUGCCGUUAUUAAAAAGAACACCAUGUGUUUUAAAAGGAAAAAGUGUGAGCUUCCCUGAAAGGCCAGCGGGAAGGUGGCCUCCAUCCCAGCCAUCCCCCAGGGGUCGCCAUCUCCUGUCCCGCUGGUACCUGCACACUUUUACGACCUGCGGCUGGCCGGUCAGGUGCUAAGGCACACCACACCGUAAGUACAAACAGAUUGCAGAGGUGUGAGAACCUCAUUUAAUUUCUCUUCCCCUUAAAGGAAAAACACACCGCCACCCCCACCCUGCCACCCUUGCCGUUGCUCUGCAGCUCGCCCGGAAACCAAGCUUGGCGCUACUGGUGGCAUUCAAAGACUACCUGCAGCCUGGCAGAGGGACCCUAGAAAGGCUCCAGGUUGUCACCCCAUCACCUGCCCAGACGCCCUGGGCAAGCUGGAGUGUGGGUCCAUUUCUGGAGAGGGGUGUCCACAGCCAAACAACACAGGCUACUAGCCCCAAAGCAGCAACGCAGCGUGGUGCCCCAGAGGUGUGGCCUGUGUCCUCAGAUGGGGUACAGAGAGUAGAAAAGUCCUCCAGCGUACUCAGCCAAAUGCGUGCCCCGGUGUUGCCUCCACUGUGGAAUGAAUGUGGGACCGUGCGUGCGUGCGUGCGUGCGUGUGUGUGUGUGUGUGUGUGUGUCGAGGUUGGAAUGCAAGCGCCGCGAUGGUGUGCGAAUACGCAUCUGGGCUGCAGCGCGCGUCGGAGGGCAGGGUGACGGGACACAAGCCAGCGGGGCUCUUUUGUGUGUCUCUGGGUGUGUCCCAGAGAGGGUCUGGAUGUGGAGAACGUAUCCUGGCGGAGUGUGUGCGUUGGGUGAUGGGGCCCAAGGCCAGGAGUUCCUCCAGCGACAGUGGGGUUCUCUCGGCAGCUGAUCCCCACUGGGUACCCCUUACACAAUGAAGUCUGGGCCCGCGGUGCCCGGACACGCUGGCUCUCGCUCCUUUUCACUGAGAUUUCGGUAGCUGCAGGCUUUCAACCCGGCGCAGCCUGAAUGAGACUGGUUGUAAGCCCCAUUGAUGGAGGGGACUUCGAGGGUCCCAAAGCGUGGGGUUCGUUGCAGGGGGGAGGGGGCGGC
Mesocricetus auratus (golden hamster) is the source of this 2705-nucleotide long non-coding RNA. RefSeq lists it as uncharacterized. The record is from RefSeq and is a predicted model, not a curated record. Lineage: Eukaryota; Metazoa; Chordata; Mammalia; Rodentia; Cricetidae. The transcript has 3 exons.